CCAUGUGAAGGAAGACAGAUUUCCACAAUAAUUUGUAAAAUCCCAGCUUCAAAAUUAGGGGUCUUUGUGUUUAACUUAUGCUGCCGCAUGUGGGCGUGUACUAAAUGUUGGAUCUUUGUUGUAAAGGCUGAAAUUUCAGGCUUAUUGGGGGUUUAUCUCAACUGGAUUGCUUGAACUAGAGGUUUUCUGGUCUUGUUUUUUAUUUGGGUAUUUUGUGCCUUUUUUCCUGUGGGAUUUUUAUGAAAAUUUGUCCGGAGAUUAGAGGCAUUAAGAAAUUUAGAUGAUUGUGGGUUCUUUCUCUGCAUAACUUGGUGAUUUGAGGAGGUCUUUGAUGAAUGGUUU
Molecule: long non-coding RNA, 342 nt
Filed under: Malus domestica (apple)
Lineage: Eukaryota; Viridiplantae; Streptophyta; Magnoliopsida; Rosales; Rosaceae
Description: long non-coding RNA (MDOM_LNC007193)
Source: RNAcentral